UGGCUCAGAACGAACGCUGGCGGCAGGCCUAACACAUGCAAGUCGAGCGCCGUAGCAAUACGGAGCGGCAGACGGGAGAGUAACACGUGGGAACGUACCCUGUGGUUCGGAAUAACUCAGGGAAACUUGAGCUAAUACCGGAUACGUCCGUAAGGAGAAAGAUUUAUCGCCGAGGGAUCGGCCCGCGUCGGAUUAGGUAGUUGGUGGGGUAACGGCCUACCAAGCCGGGGAUCCGUAGCUGGUCUGAGAGGAUGAUCAGCCACACUGGGACUGAGAUACGGCCCAGGAACCUACGGGAGGCA
RNAcentral lists this ribosomal RNA (302 nucleotides) under uncultured Hyphomicrobiales bacterium. Its description in RNAcentral is "bacterial SSU rRNA". It matches the Rfam family "Bacterial small subunit ribosomal RNA", at positions 20 to 350 of the family's 1533-position model. The record is from RNAcentral. Lineage: Bacteria; Pseudomonadati; Pseudomonadota; Alphaproteobacteria; Hyphomicrobiales.